Molecule: long non-coding RNA, 973 nt
Organism: Macadamia integrifolia
Lineage: Eukaryota; Viridiplantae; Streptophyta; Magnoliopsida; Proteales; Proteaceae
Exons: 5
Source: RefSeq, a predicted model, not a curated record
GGUAUAAGAUAGUCCCACAUCGUUAAGCCAAAAAGUUUUCUCUUUCUUCAAGAAGCAAGGGUUCGAUGGAGAUGUUGUCUCUUCGGAGACAUCCGAUAAAAUUGGAACGAUACAGAGAAGAUUAGCAUGGCCCCUGCGCAAGGAUGACACGCACAAAUCGAGAAAUGGUCCAAAUUUUUUUGAUCCCUUGGCUGAGGAUUGAAUUUUAACCUAUUCAGUUUCUCUUGCGUUCAGGUAUGUUUAAAGAUUAGGUGGAUCUAAGGAUUUUUGUCCCUUUAUAGAAAUGAACGAAUGUUGGCUGUUCAUCUCGGGAUUUUAAGUUCGUAACUUCGCGUUCUGUUGAUCUGGAAAAGAUACAGGCUUUGUUGGAUGAUUGUGGCUAUAAACUGAGAAAUGAGUCAACAACCUCCCAUCGAUAACAGGCCUUCCCAAGCUAUAUCUCUCUACAACAACAACAACAACAACAACAACAAAGCCUUAUCCCAACUAAUGGGGUCGGCUACAUGGAUCCACGGUGGACAAGAGACUAGAUGGUCCCAAAGGUCAUGUAUCCUCACUCUGCAACAUUUUCCUAAUAUGCUGAAGAAAGGUGGCCUUCACAAGAUCCACUCUGAACACUUGACAUGCCUUCCAUUCAUGCGCAACAUGGUAGAUUUGUGUAGAUUAUGGGAUGAUUUAAAGGUGUAUUGGAUUUUCCUCCAUCACUUUCGGGUUGUGACAUUGUGGAACUCGUUAAUAACUGUUAGCCUGAGUGAUUCUCCAAUAGCUGCCGCACCUAUGUUUGCGUUCUAGGAAUAUCAUUUUACUUAGCAUCUUCUGCUUCAUAAUAGUUAUUUUUUGUAUUUAGUUAUUCUAUUAUUAUUAUCAUUGUUUAAAGACAGAUGAGUUGAAAAGGAUAUGUAGUUGACUUGGUCCACAUAUGUUGCACGCUAUCAAUGGUGAUGGAUUCAUGAAUCAGAUCUGGUCACUUAGU